AAAUAUUGGAAUUUACACCCGAACAAGCCCGAUCCUGUCUGAUCUCAGAAGCUAAGCAGGGUUGGGCCUAGUUAGUACUUGGAUAAGAGACCACCUAGGAAGACCAGGUGCUAUAGGUG
This 119-nucleotide ribosomal RNA is filed under the name Pteropus alecto (black flying fox). Lineage: Eukaryota; Metazoa; Chordata; Mammalia; Chiroptera; Pteropodidae. The record is from RNAcentral. RNAcentral also lists the same sequence under 1 other name.